AUUAGGAAUCUUGCACAAUGGGGGAAACCCUGAUGCAGCGACGCCGCGUGAGGGAUGACGCAUUUCGGUGUGUAAACCUCUUUUGACAGGGAAGAAGAAUGUGACGGUACCUGUCGAAUAAGCCCCGGCUAACUACGUGCCAGCAGCCGCGGUAAUACGUAGGGGGCGAGCGUUGUCCGAAUUUACUGGGCGUAAAGCGCGCGUAGGCGGCUAUUUAAGUCUGGGGUGAAAGGUUCGACGCUCAACGUGAACAGUGCCUUGGAUACUGGGUGGCUUGAGUCUGGGAGAGGGUAGCGGAAUUCCUGGUGUAGCGGUGAAAUGCGUAGAUAUCAGGAGGAACACCGGUGGCGAAGGCGGCUACCUGGCCUAAGACUGACGCUGAGGUGCGAAAGCGUGGGGAGCGAACGG
RNAcentral lists this ribosomal RNA (408 nucleotides) under uncultured bacterium. RNAcentral describes it as "bacterial SSU rRNA". It matches the Rfam family "Bacterial small subunit ribosomal RNA", at positions 354 to 775 of the family's 1533-position model. The record is from RNAcentral.